This 75-nucleotide ribosomal RNA is filed under the name Escherichia coli. Its description in RNAcentral is "partial 16S ribosomal RNA". It matches the Rfam family "Bacterial small subunit ribosomal RNA", at positions 1 to 75 of the family's 1533-position model. Lineage: Bacteria; Pseudomonadati; Pseudomonadota; Gammaproteobacteria; Enterobacterales; Enterobacteriaceae. The record is from RNAcentral.
AAAUUGAAGAGUUUGAUCAUGGCUCAGAUUGAACGCUGGCGGCAGGCCUAACACAUGCAAGUCACACGUAAUUCG